This 57-nucleotide transfer RNA is filed under the name Haemadipsa tianmushana. RNAcentral's name for it is "tRNA-Ser". Lineage: Eukaryota; Metazoa; Annelida; Clitellata; Hirudinida; Haemadipsidae. The record is from RNAcentral.
UAAAGUGUAAAUUUAAGCUUCUAACUUAAAUUAUGGAAGUAAAAUUCCACUCUUUUA